This 253-nucleotide ribosomal RNA is filed under the name uncultured bacterium. RNAcentral's name for it is "partial 16S ribosomal RNA". It matches the Rfam family "Bacterial small subunit ribosomal RNA", at positions 524 to 776 of the family's 1533-position model. The record is from RNAcentral.
UACGUAGGUGGCAAGCGUUGUCCGGAUUUACUGGGCGUAAAGAGCGCGCAGGCGGUCGUUCAAGUCGCGUGUGAAAGCCCCCGGCUCAACUGGGGAGGGUCACGCGAUACUGAUCGACUGGAAGGCAGGAGAGGGUAGUGGAAUUCCCGGUGUAGUGGUGAAAUGCGUAGAUAUCGGGAGGAACACCAGUGGCGAAGGCGGCAUCCUGGCCAUGUCCUGACGCUCAGGGGCGAAAGCGUGGGGAGCAAACCGG